Molecule: ribosomal RNA, 755 nt
Filed under: uncultured Actinomyces sp.
Lineage: Bacteria; Bacillati; Actinomycetota; Actinomycetes; Actinomycetales; Actinomycetaceae
Description: bacterial SSU rRNA
Rfam family: Bacterial small subunit ribosomal RNA
Source: RNAcentral
GACGAACGCUGGCGGCGUGCUUAACACAUGCAAGUCGAACGCUGCAGACCUGGCUUUUGUUGGGUUGGAUGAGUGGCGAACGGGUGAGUAACACGUGAGUAACCUGCCCUCUUCUUUGGGAUAACGCCCGGAAACGGGUGCUAAUACUGGAUAUUCACUGGCCUUCGCAUGGGGGUUGGUGGAAAGGUUUGUUCUGGUGGGGGAUGGGCUCGCGGCCUAUCAGCUUGUUGGUGGGGUGAUGGCCUACCAAGGCUUUGACGGGUAGCCGGCCUGAGAGGGUGACCGGUCACAUUGGGACUGAGAUACGGCCCAGACUCCUACGGGAGGCAGCAGUGGGGAAUAUUGCACAAUGGGCGGAAGCCUGAUGCAGCGACGCCGCGUGAGGGAUGGAGGCCUUCGGGUUGUAAACCUCUUUCGCUCAUGGUCAAGCCGCAACUGUGGGUUGUGGUGAGGGUAGUGGGUAAAGAAGCGCCGGCUAACUACGUGCCAGCAGCCGCGGUAAUACGUAGGGCGCGAGCGUUGUCCGGAAUUAUUGGGCGUAAAGGGCUUGUAGGCGGUUGGUCGCGUCUGCCGUGAAAUCCUCUGGCUUAACUGGGGGCGUGCGGUGGGUACGGGCUGACUUGAGUGCGGUAGGGGAGACUGGAACUCCUGGUGUAGCGGUGGAAUGCGCAGAUAUCAGGAAGAACACCGGUGGCGAAGGCGGGUCUCUGGGCCGUUACUGACGCUGAGGAGCGAAAGCGUGGGGAGCGAACAGG